GACGAACGCUGGCGGCGUGCUUAACACAUGCAAGUCGAACGGAAAGGCCCUGCUUUUGUGGGGUGCUCGAGUGGCGAACGGGUGAGUAACACGUGAGUAACCUGCCCUUGACUUUGGGAUAACUUCAGGAAACUGGGGCUAAUACCGGAUAGGAGCUCCUGCUGCAUGGUGGGGGUUGGAAAGUUUCGGCGGUUGGGGAUGGACUCGCGGCUUAUCAGCUUGUUGGUGGGGUAGUGGCUUACCAAGGCUUUGACGGGUAGCCGGCCUGAGAGGGUGACCGGCCCAGUGGGGUAGGGGAUACGGCCCAAGCGCCUCCGGGAGGAAGGAGGGGGGAAUAUGGCACAAGGGGGGGAAGACUGAAGAAGGAACGCCGGGUGCGGGGUGCCGGCCUUAGGGUUGUAAACCGCUUUCGCCUGUGACGAAGCGGGGGUGACGGAAAUGGGUAAAGAAGCACCGGCAAACUACGG
This 467-nucleotide ribosomal RNA is filed under the name uncultured bacterium. RNAcentral describes it as "partial 16S ribosomal RNA". It matches the Rfam family "Bacterial small subunit ribosomal RNA", at positions 28 to 506 of the family's 1533-position model. The record is from RNAcentral.